CAGAGGUCCCGAGCGUUGUUCGGAUUCACUGGGCGUAAAGGGUGCGUAGGUGGUGAGGUAAGUCGGAUGUGAAAUCUCCGGGCUCAACCCGGAAACUGCAUUGGAAACUACCUUGCUGAGGUUUUGAGGGGGACUGGAAUUCUCGGUGUAGCAGUGAAAUGCGUAGAUAUCGAGAGGAACACCAGUGGCGAAGGCGAGUCCCUGGAAAAACACCUGACACUGAGGCACGAAAGCUAGGGGAGCAAACAGGAUUAGAUACCCUGGUAGUCCUAGCCCUAAACGGUGCUUGCUUGCUGUAAGUGGAAUCGACCCCACUUGUGGCGGAGCUAACGCGUUAAGCAAGCCGCCUGGGAAGUACGGUCGCAAGAUUA
This 371-nucleotide ribosomal RNA is filed under the name uncultured organism. RNAcentral describes it as "bacterial SSU rRNA". It matches the Rfam family "Bacterial small subunit ribosomal RNA", at positions 526 to 896 of the family's 1533-position model. The record is from RNAcentral.